Molecule: transfer RNA, 75 nt
Filed under: Pelagibacterium sp. SCN 63-126
Lineage: Bacteria; Pseudomonadati; Pseudomonadota; Alphaproteobacteria; Hyphomicrobiales; Devosiaceae
Also listed under: 3 other names
Description: tRNA-Cys
Rfam family: tRNA
About the family: Transfer RNA (tRNA) molecules are approximately 80 nucleotides in length. Their secondary structure includes four short double-helical elements and three loops (D, anti-codon, and T loops).
Source: RNAcentral
GGCCUCGUGGCGGAGAGUUACGCGGUGGAUUGCAACUCCACUUACCCUUGGUUCAAGUCCAGGGCGAGGCCUCCA